Molecule: ribosomal RNA, 208 nt
Filed under: uncultured bacterium
Lineage: Bacteria
Description: partial 16S ribosomal RNA
Rfam family: Bacterial small subunit ribosomal RNA
Source: RNAcentral
UCCGUAGGUGGUUUGUCAAGUCUGUCGUCAAAGAAUGGAGCUUAACUCCAUAAAGGCGGUGGAAACUGAGAGACUAGAGUUCGGUAGGGGUAGCGGGAAUUCCCAGUGUAGCGGUGAAAUGCGUAGAUAUUGGGAAGAACAUCGGUGGCGAAAGCGCGCUACUGGGCCGUAAACUGACACUGAGGGACGAAAGCUAGGGUAGCGAAAG